UAACGCGUGGGUGACGUACCUGUUGGUGGGGAAUAACUGCCCGAAAGGGUGGCUAAUUCCGCAUAAGUCCUUCGGAUCAAGCUGAAGGGGAAAGCUUCGCAAGAGGCGCCGAUGGAGCGGCCCGCGUCCGAUUAGCUUGUUGGUGGGGUAACGGCCUACCAAGGCGACGAUCGGUAGCUGGUCUUAGAGGAUGAUCAGCCAGACUGGGACUGAGACACGGCCCAG
Molecule: ribosomal RNA, 225 nt
Filed under: uncultured bacterium
Lineage: Bacteria
Description: partial 16S ribosomal RNA
Rfam family: Bacterial small subunit ribosomal RNA
Source: RNAcentral